UGGGGAAUAUUGCACAAUGGGCGCAAGCCUGAUGCAGCCAUGCCGCGUGUAUGAAGAAGGCCUUCGGGUUGUAAAGUACUUUCAGCGGGGAGGAAGGUGUUGUGGUUAAUAACCACAGCAAUUGACGUUACCCGCAGAAGAAGCACCGGCUAACUCCGUGCCAGCAGCCGCGGUAAUACGGAGGGUGCAAGCGUUAAUCGGAAUUACUGGGCGUAAAGCGCACGCAGGCGGUCUGUCAAAUCGGAUGUGAAAUCCCCGGGCUCAACCGGGGAACUGCAUCCGAAACUGGCAGGCUUGAGUCUUGUAGAGGGGGGUAGAAUUCCAGGUGUAGCGGUGAAAUGCGUAGAGAUCUGGAGGAAUACCGGUGGCGAAGGCGGCCCCCUGGACAAAGACUGACGCUCAGGUGCGAAAGCGUGGGGAGCAAACA
RNAcentral lists this ribosomal RNA (427 nucleotides) under uncultured bacterium. RNAcentral describes it as "partial 16S ribosomal RNA". It matches the Rfam family "Bacterial small subunit ribosomal RNA", at positions 355 to 774 of the family's 1533-position model. The record is from RNAcentral.